RNAcentral lists this ribosomal RNA (510 nucleotides) under uncultured bacterium. RNAcentral's name for it is "bacterial SSU rRNA". It matches the Rfam family "Bacterial small subunit ribosomal RNA", at positions 15 to 518 of the family's 1533-position model. The record is from RNAcentral.
GAUUCUGGCUCAGGAUGAACGCUGGCGGCGUGCCUAACACAUGCAAGUCGAACGAAGCAUAGGAAAUGGAGAUUCGUCGAAAGGAACUAUGACUUAGUGGCGGACGGGUGAGUAAUGUAUGAGCAACCUGCCUUUCGAGAGGGGGACAACAGUUGGAAACGACUGCUAAUACCGCAUAAUGUAUUUUGGGGGCAUCCCCGGGAUACCAAAGGAGCAAUCCGCUGAAAGAUGGGCUCAUAUCUGAUUAGUUAGUUGGUGGGGUAACGGCCUACCAAGACUGCGAUCAGUAGCCGGACUGAGAGGUUGAACGGCCACAUUGGGACUGAGAUACGGCCCAGACUCCUACGGGAGGCAGCAGUGGGGAAUAUUGGGCAAUGGGACGAAAGCCUGAACCCCAGCAACGCCGCGUGAAGGAUGAAGGUCUUCGGAUUGUAAACUUCUUUUAUGAGGGACGAAGGACGUGACGGUACCUCAUGAAUAAGCCACGGCUAACUACGUGCCAGCCGCGGC